UACGUAGGGGGCAAGCGUUGUCCGGAAUUACUGGGCGUAAAGGGCUCGUAGGCGGCCAACUAAGUCGGACGUGAAAUCCCUCGGCUUAACCGGGGAACUGCAUCCGAUACUGGAAGGCUUGAGUUUGGGAGAGGGAUGCGGAAUUCCAGGUGUAGCGGUGAAAUGCGUAGAUAUCUGGAGGAACACCGGUGGCGAAGGCGGCAUCCUGGACCAACACUGACGCUGAGGAGCGAAAGCCAGGGGAGCAAACGGG
This 253-nucleotide ribosomal RNA is filed under the name uncultured bacterium. Its description in RNAcentral is "partial 16S ribosomal RNA". It matches the Rfam family "Bacterial small subunit ribosomal RNA", at positions 524 to 776 of the family's 1533-position model. The record is from RNAcentral.